This 29-nucleotide small RNA is filed under the name Bombyx mori (domestic silkworm). RNAcentral describes it as "ovarian small RNA-28478". The record is from RNAcentral. Lineage: Eukaryota; Metazoa; Arthropoda; Insecta; Lepidoptera; Bombycidae.
UCGAUGAUUGUGUUUGUUCUACACCUUGU